Non-coding RNA from Pelobates cultripes (western spadefoot toad), 213 nucleotides. NCBI's taxonomy places the organism in Eukaryota, Metazoa, Chordata, Amphibia, Anura, Pelobatidae. The record is from the annotation of a GenBank genome assembly.
AAUAUCAGGAAGUAUUACUUUACUGAGAGGGUAGUGGAUGCAUGGAAUAGCCUUCCACCUGAAGUGGUAAGAGGUUAACACAGUAAAGGAGUUUAAGCAUGAGUGGGAUAGGCAUAAGGCUAUCCUAACUAUAAGAUAAGGCUAGGGACUAAUGAAAGUAUUCAGAAAAUUGGGCAGACUGGAUGGGCCGAAUGGUUCUUAUCUGCCGUCACA